GGUUAAGUGACUAAGCGUACACGGUGGAUGCCUUGGCAGUCAGAGGCGAUGAAAGACGUAGUAACUUGCGAUAAGCCCAGAUUAGGUAGUAACAACCAUUUGAGUCUGGGAUUUCUGAAUGGGGAAACCCACUUACAUAAGUAAGUAUCAUUAACUGAAUACAUAGGUUAAUGAGGCGAACCGGGGGAACUGAAACAUCUAAGUACCCCGAGGAAAAGAAAUCAACCGAGAUUCCGAAAGUAGCGGCGAGCGAAAUUGGACUAGCCCUUAAGCUUUACACGCGUUAGACGAACGGUCUGGAAAGUCCGACGAUACAGGGUGAUAGUCCCGUAGUUGACGACGUGUGUUCAGUGAAAUCGAGUAGGGCGGGACACGUGAUAUCCUGUCUGAAUAUGGGGGGACCAUCCUCCAAGGCUAAAUACUACUGACUGACCGAUAGUGAACCAGUACCGUGAGGGAAAGGCGAAAAGAACCCCUGUGAGGGGAGUGAAAUAGAACCUGAAACCGUGUACGUACAAGCAGUAGGAGCAGGCUUUGUCCUGUGACUGCGUACCUUUUGUAUAAUGGGUCAGCGACUUAUAUUCAGUGGCAAGGUUAACCAUCUAGGGGAGCCGUAGGGAAACCGAGUCUUAACUGGGCGUUCAGUCUCUGGAUAUAGACCCGAAACCAGGUGAUCUAGCCAUGGGCAGGUUGAAGGUUGAGUAACAUCAACUGGAGGACCGAACCGACUAAUGUUGAAAAAUUAGCGGAUGACUUGUGGCUAGGGGUGAAAGGCCAAUCAAACCUGGAGAUAGCUGGUUCUCCCCGAAAGCUAUUUAGGUAGCGCCUCGGACGAAUACUACUGGGGGUAGAGCACUGUUAAGGCUAGGGGGUCAUCCCGACUUACCAACCCUUUGCAAACUCCGAAUACCAGUAAGUACUAUCCGGGAGACACACGGCGGGUGCUAACGUCCGUCGUGGAGAGGGAAACAACCCAGACCGCCAGCUAAGGUCCCAAAUUACUACUAAGUGGGAAACGAUGUGGGAAGGCUCAGACAGCCAGGAUGUUGGCUUAGAAGCAGCCAUCAUUUAAAGAAAGCGUAAUAGCUCACUGGUCGAGUCGGCCUGCGCGGAAGAUGUAACGGGGCUAAGUAGUAAACCGAAGCUGCGGCAAUGUGCUUUUGCACAUUGGGUAGGGGAGCGUUCUGUAAGCGGUUGAAGGUGUGUGGUAACGCAUGCUGGACGUAUCAGAAGUGCGAAUGCUGACAUGAGUAACGAUAAAGGGGGUGAAAAACCUCCUCGCCGGAAGACCAAGGGUUCCUGUCCAACGUUAAUCGGGGCAGGGUAAGUCGACCCCUAAGGCGAGGCCGAAAGGCGUAGUCGAUGGGAAACGGGUUAAUAUUCCCGUACUUCUUACAAUUGCGAUGGGGGGACGGAGAAGGCUAGGUGGGCCUGGCGACGGUUGUCCAGGUUCAAGUGCGUAGGCUUAAGAGUUAGGUAAAUCCGGCUCUUUUUAAGGCUGAGACACGACGUCGAGCACCUACGGGUGUGAAGUCAUUGAUGCCAUGCUUCCAGGAAAAGCCUCUAAGCUUCAGAUUGUAAGGAAUCGUACCCCAAACCGACACAGGUGGUCGGGUAGAGAAUACCAAGGCGCUUGAGAGAACUCGGGUGAAGGAACUAGGCAAAAUGGUACCGUAACUUCGGGAGAAGGUACGCUCUCGACGGUGAAGUCCCUCGCGGAUGGAGCUAUUGAGAGUCGCAGAUACCAGGUGGCUGCAACUGUUUAUUAAAAACACAGCACUGUGCAAAAUCGUAAGAUGACGUAUACGGUGUGACGCCUGCCCGGUGCCGGAAGGUUAAUUGAUGGGGUUAGACUUCGGUCGAAGCUCUUGAUCGAAGCCCCGGUAAACGGCGGCCGUAACUAUAACGGUCCUAAGGUAGCGAAAUUCCUUGUCGGGUAAGUUCCGACCUGCACGAAUGGCGUAAUGAUGGCCACGCUGUCUCCACCCGAGACUCAGUGAAAUUGAAAUCGCUGUGAAGAUGCAGUGUACCCGCGGCUAGACGGAAAGACCCCGUGAACCUUUACUACAGCUUGGCACUGAACAUUGACCCUACAUGUGUAGGAUAGGUGGGAGGCUUUGAAGCACGUACGCCAGUAUCUGUGGAGCCGUCCUUGAAAUACCACCCUUGUAGUGUUGAUGUUCUAACGUCGACCCCUUAUCGGGGUUGCGGACAGUGCCUGGUGGGUAGUUUGACUGGGGCGGUCUCCUCCCAAAGAGUAACGGAGGAGCACGAAGGUGGGCUAAUCACGGUUGGACAUCGUGAGGUUAGUGCAAUGGCAUAAGCCCGCUUGACUGCGAGAAUGACAAUUCGAGCAGGUGCGAAAGCAGGUCAUAGUGAUCCGGUGGUUCUGAAUGGAAGGGCCAUCGCUCAACGGAUAAAAGGUACUCCGGGGAUAACAGGCUGAUACCGCCCAAGAGUUCAUAUCGACGGCGGUGUUUGGCACCUCGAUGUCGGCUCAUCACAUCCUGGGGCUGAAGUCGGUCCCAAGGGUAUGGCUGUUCGCCAUUUAAAGUGGUACGCGAGCUGGGUUUAGAACGUCGUGAGACAGUUCGGUCCCUAUCUGCCGUGGGCGUUGGAAGAUUGAAGGGGGCUGCUCCUAGUACGAGAGGACCGGAGUGGACGAACCUCUGGUGUUCGGGUUGUGUCGCCAGACGCAUUGCCCGGUAGCUAAGUUCGGAAUCGAUAACCGCUGAAAGCAUCUAAGCGGGAAGCGAGCCCUGAGAUGAGUCUUCCCUGAUACUUUAAGUAUCCUAAAGGGUUGUCGGAGACUACGACGUUGAUAGGUCAGGUGUGUAAGUGCUGUGAGGCAUUGAGCUAACUGAUACUAAUUGCCCGUGAGGCUUAACCAU
Molecule: ribosomal RNA, 2891 nt
Filed under: Vibrio parahaemolyticus
Lineage: Bacteria; Pseudomonadati; Pseudomonadota; Gammaproteobacteria; Vibrionales; Vibrionaceae
Description: 23S ribosomal RNA
Rfam family: Bacterial large subunit ribosomal RNA
Source: RNAcentral